GAUGAACGCUGGCGGCGUGCCUAAUACAUGCAAGUCGAGCGAACAGACGAGGAGCUUGCUCCUCUGACGUUAGCGGCGGACGGGUGAGUAACACGUGGAUAACCUACCUAUAAGACUGGGAUAACUUCGGGAAACCGGAGCUAAUACCGGAUAAUAUAUUGAACCGCAUGGUUCAAUAGUGAAAGACGGUUUUGCUGCCACUUAUAGUUGGAUCCGCGCCGCAUUAGCUAGUUGGUAAGGUAACGGCUUACCAAGGCAACGAUGCGUAGCCGACCUGAGAGGGUGAUCGGCCACACUGGAACUGAGACACGGUCCAGACUCCUACGGGAGGCAGCAGUAGGGAAUCUUCCGCAAUGGGCGAAAGCCUGACGGAGCAACGCCGCGUGAGUGAUGAAGGUCUUCGGAUCGUAAAACUCUGUUAUUAGGGAAGAACAAAUGUGUAAGUAACUAUGCACGUCUUGACGGUACCUAAUCAGAAAGCCACGGCUAACUACGUG
RNAcentral lists this ribosomal RNA (497 nucleotides) under uncultured bacterium. Its description in RNAcentral is "partial 16S ribosomal RNA". It matches the Rfam family "Bacterial small subunit ribosomal RNA", at positions 28 to 507 of the family's 1533-position model. The record is from RNAcentral.